UUCGGAAUUAUUGGGCGUAAAGCGCGUGUAGGCGGCUUUGCAAGUCGGGUGUGAAAGCCCUCGGCUCAACCGAGGAAGUGCGCCCGAAACUGCAGAGCUAGAGUACCAGAGAGGGUGGCGGAAUUCCCCAAGUAGAGGUGAAAUUCGUAGAUAUGGGGAGGAACACCAGUGGCGAAGGCGACUCACUGGACAUGUAUUGACGCUGAGGUGCGAAAGCGUGGGGAGCAAACAGG
This 233-nucleotide ribosomal RNA is filed under the name uncultured bacterium. RNAcentral's name for it is "partial 16S ribosomal RNA". It matches the Rfam family "Bacterial small subunit ribosomal RNA", at positions 544 to 776 of the family's 1533-position model. The record is from RNAcentral.